RNAcentral lists this ribosomal RNA (2888 nucleotides) under Salmonella enterica subsp. enterica serovar Chester. RNAcentral describes it as "partial 23S ribosomal RNA". It matches the Rfam family "Bacterial large subunit ribosomal RNA". The record is from RNAcentral. Lineage: Bacteria; Pseudomonadati; Pseudomonadota; Gammaproteobacteria; Enterobacterales; Enterobacteriaceae.
GGGUUGUGAGGUUAAGCGACUAAGCGUACACGGUGGAUGCCCUGGCAGUCAGAGGCGAUGAAGGGCGUGCUAAUCUGCGAUAAGCGCCGGUAAGGUGAUAUGAACCGUUAUAACCGGCGAUACCCGAAUGGGGAAACCCAGUGUGACUCGUCACACUAUCAUUAACUGAAUCCAUAGGUUAAUGAGGCGAACCGGGGGAACUGAAACAUCUAAGUACCCCGAGGAAAAGAAAUCAACCGAGAUUCCCCCAGUAGCGGCGAGCGAACGGGGAGGAGCCCAGAGCCUGAAUCAGCAUGUGUGUUAGUGGAAGCGUCUGGAAAGGCGCGCGAUACAGGGUGACAGCCCCGUACACAAAAGCGCAUGUGCUGUGAGCUCGAUGAGUAGGGCGGGACACGUGGUAUCCUGUCUGAAUAUGGGGGGACCAUCCUCCAAGGCUAAAUACUCCUGACUGACCGAUAGUGAACCAGUACCGUGAGGGAAAGGCGAAAAGAACCCCGGCGAGGGGAGUGAAAAAGAACCUGAAACCGUGUACGUACAAGCAGUGGGAGCCCCACCACUAAGCCAGUGGUGAACUCCACAUACGCAUCCUUUGCUGAGGAUACGGUUAACGGAGCGAAAGCGACGUUCAACCGCAAAAGAAGCAGAGGGGGCUUAGUGGUGGGGUGACUGCGUACCUUUUGUAUAAUGGGUCAGCGACUUAUAUUCUGUAGCAAGGUUAACCGAAUAGGGGAGCCGGAGGGAAACCGAGUCUUAACCGGGCGUUAAGUUGCAGGGUAUAGACCCGAAACCCGGUGAUCUAGCCAUGGGCAGGUUGAAGGUUGGGUAACACUAACUGGAGGACCGAACCGACUAAUGUUGAAAAAUUAGCGGAUGACCUGUGGCUGGGGGUGAAAGGCCAAUCAAACCGGGAGAUAGCUGGUUCUCCCCGAAAGCUAUUUAGGUAGCGCCUCGUGAAUUCAUCUCCGGGGGUAGAGCACUGUUUCGGCUAGGGGGCCAUCCCGGCUUACCAACCCGAUGCAAACUGCGAAUACCGGAGAAUGUUAUCACGGGAGACACACGGCGGGUGCUAACGUCCGUCGUGAAGAGGGAAACAACCCAGACCGCCAGCUAAGGUCCCAAAGUCAUGGUUAAGUGGGAAACGAUGUGGGAAGGCCCAGACAGCCAGGAUGUUGGCUUAGAAGCAGCCAUCAUUUAAAGAAAGCGUAAUAGCUCACUGGUCGAGUCGGCCUGCGCGGAAGAUGUAACGGGGCUAAACCAUGCACCGAAGCUGCGGCAGCGACGCUGAUGCGUUGUUGGGUAGGGGAGCGUUCUGUAAGCCUGCGAAGGUGGCCUGUGAGGGUUGCUGGAGGUAUCAGAAGUGCGAAUGCUGACAUAAGUAACGAUAAAGCGGGUGAAAAGCCCGCUCGCCGGAAGACCAAGGGUUCCUGUCCAACGUUAAUCGGGGCAGGGUGAGUCGACCCCUAAGGCGAGGCCGAAAGGCGUAGUCGAUGGGAAACGGGUUAAUAUUCCCGUACUUGGUGUUACUGCGAAGGGGGGACGGAGAAGGCUAUGUUGGCCGGGCGACGGUUGUCCCGGUUUAAGCGUGUAGGUGUGUGUUCCAGGUAAAUCCGGUUCACUUUAACACUGAGGCGUGAUGACGAGGCACUACGGUGCUGAAGCAACAAAUGCCCUGCUUCCAGGAAAAGCCUCUAAGCAUCAGGUAACAUCAAAUCGUACCCCAAACCGACACAGGUGGUCAGGUAGAGAAUACCAAGGCGCUUGAGAGAACUCGGGUGAAGGAACUAGGCAAAAUGGUGCCGUAACUUCGGGAGAAGGCACGCUGACACGUAGGUGAAGUGAUUUACUCAUGGAGCUGAAGUCAGUCGAAGAUACCAGCUGGCUGCAACUGUUUAUUAAAAACACAGCACUGUGCAAACACGAAAGUGGACGUAUACGGUGUGACGCCUGCCCGGUGCCGGAAGGUUAAUUGAUGGGGUCAGCGCAAGCGAAGCUCCUGAUCGAAGCCCCGGUAAACGGCGGCCGUAACUAUAACGGUCCUAAGGUAGCGAAAUUCCUUGUCGGGUAAGUUCCGACCUGCACGAAUGGCGUAAUGAUGGCCAGGCUGUCUCCACCCGAGACUCAGUGAAAUUGAACUCGCUGUGAAGAUGCAGUGUACCCGCGGCAAGACGGAAAGACCCCGUGAACCUUUACUAUAGCUUGACACUGAACAUUGAGCCUUGAUGUGUAGGAUAGGUGGGAGGCUUUGAAGUGUGGACGCCAGUCUGCAUGGAGCCGACCUUGAAAUACCACCCUUUAAUGUUUGAUGUUCUAACGUGGACCCGUGAUCCGGGUUGCGGACAGUGUCUGGUGGGUAGUUUGACUGGGGCGGUCUCCUCCUAAAGAGUAACGGAGGAGCACGAAGGUUGGCUAAUCCUGGUCGGACAUCAGGAGGUUAGUGCAAUGGCAUAAGCCAGCUUGACUGCGAGCGUGACGGCGCGAGCAGGUGCGAAAGCAGGUCAUAGUGAUCCGGUGGUUCUGAAUGGAAGGGCCAUCGCUCAACGGAUAAAAGGUACUCCGGGGAUAACAGGCUGAUACCGCCCAAGAGUUCAUAUCGACGGCGGUGUUUGGCACCUCGAUGUCGGCUCAUCACAUCCUGGGGCUGAAGUAGGUCCCAAGGGUAUGGCUGUUCGCCAUUUAAAGUGGUACGCGAGCUGGGUUUAGAACGUCGUGAGACAGUUCGGUCCCUAUCUGCCGUGGGCGCUGGAGAACUGAGGGGGGCUGCUCCUAGUACGAGAGGACCGGAGUGGACGCAUCACUGGUGUUCGGGUUGUCAUGCCAAUGGCACUGCCCGGUAGCUAAAUGCGGAAGAGAUAAGUGCUGAAAGCAUCUAAGCACGAAACUUGCCCCGA